UGUUGAAAAUUUCAUUUAUUAGUACUAUUAAAAAUUAGUAUGGCGACAAAAUAAUCAAAGAAUGACAUGUGGUGUGUUAUAUGUAUCUCAUAUUGAUGUACAAGAACCAACUUUUAACAAUAAAAAUAGAUGAAUUUUUUAAUA
This is a non-coding RNA of Gossypium hirsutum (cotton), 144 nucleotides long. Lineage: Eukaryota; Viridiplantae; Streptophyta; Magnoliopsida; Malvales; Malvaceae. The record is from Rfam.